GAUGAACGCUGGCGGCGUGCCUAAUACAUGCAAGUCGAGCGAACGGACGAGAAGCUUGCUUCUCUGAUGUUAGCGGCGGACGGGUGAGUAACACGUGGAUAACCUACCUAUAAGACUGGGAUAACUUCGGGAAACCGUAGCUAAUACCGGAUAAUAUUUUGAACCGCAUGGUUCAAAAGUGAAAGACGGUCUUGCUGUCACUUAUAGAUGGAUCCGCGCUGCAUUAGCUAGUUGGUAAGGUAACGGCUUACCAAGGCAACGAUGCAUAGCCGACCUGAGAGGGUGAUCGGCCACACUGGAACUGAGGCACGGUCCAGACUCCUACGGGAGGCAGCAGUAGGGAAUCUUCCGCAAAGGGCGAAAGCCUGACGGAGCAACGCCGCGUGAGUGAUGAAGGUCUUCGGAUCGUAAAACUCUGUUAUUAGGGAAGAACAUAUGUGUAAGUAACUGUGCACAUCUUGACGGUACCUAAUCAGAAAGCCACGGCUAACUACGUG
RNAcentral lists this ribosomal RNA (497 nucleotides) under uncultured bacterium. Its description in RNAcentral is "partial 16S ribosomal RNA". It matches the Rfam family "Bacterial small subunit ribosomal RNA", at positions 28 to 507 of the family's 1533-position model. The record is from RNAcentral.